CCUACGGGAGGCAGCAGUAGGGAAUAUUGCUCAAUGGGGGGAACGCUGAAGCAGCAAAGCCGCGUGGAGGCUGAAGGUUUUCGGAUUGUAAACUCCUUUUGUUCGAGAAGCUAAUGACGGUAUUUAACGAAUAAGUAGGGGAUACCUACGUACCAGCAGCGGCGGUAAUCGGGAGGGUGAAAGCGUUAGUCGGAAGCACUGGGCGUUAAGCGCGCGUAGGCGGGAUAGCAGGUCAGAGGUGAAAUCCUAUGGCUUAUCCAUAGAACUGCAUGUGAAACGGUUAUUCUAGAGUAUGGGAGAGGUAGGUGGAAUUCGUGGUGUAGGGGUAAAAUCCGUAGAGAUCAAGAGGAAGACUCAUUGCGAAGGCGACCUUCGAGAACAUAACGGACGCUGAUGCGCGAAAGCGUGGGGAGCAAACAGGAUUAGAUACCCCGGUAGUC
This 440-nucleotide ribosomal RNA is filed under the name uncultured bacterium. RNAcentral's name for it is "partial 16S ribosomal RNA". It matches the Rfam family "Bacterial small subunit ribosomal RNA", at positions 338 to 795 of the family's 1533-position model. The record is from RNAcentral.